UUGGGAUUUAAGGUUUAGGAGUUAGGGGUUAAAAGUUAGGGAUUGAGGGUUUAGGGAUUCAGGGGUCGGUUUAGGAUUUUGGGUUUAGAUUAAUUAUUUUUUAAUUUAUAUUUUAAAUAUGUUCUUAUGUAAAAGAGAUAAUAAUAAAUUUGUUUAGGGUUUUUAGUUUAGGGUGUAUGAUUAAUUUAAGAUUUAAGGCCGGUUUAGGAGUUCAUAUUUUAAGGUUUAGAGAGUAUGGAUUUAGGGAUUUUGGAUUACGAAUUAUAGUUUAAGGGUUGGGCUUU
This 284-nucleotide long non-coding RNA is filed under the name Gossypium raimondii (Peruvian cotton). Its description in RNAcentral is "long non-coding RNA (GRAI_LNC004596)". Lineage: Eukaryota; Viridiplantae; Streptophyta; Magnoliopsida; Malvales; Malvaceae. The record is from RNAcentral.